UACGAAGGGGGCUAGCGUUGCUCGGAAUCACUGGGCGUAAAGCGCACGUAGGCGGGUUGCUAAGUCAGGGGUGAAAUCCUGGAGCUCAACUCCAGAACUGCCUUUGAUACUGGCGGCCUUGAGUCCGGGAGAGGUGAGUGGAACUGCGAGUGUAGAGGUGAAAUUCGUAGAUAUUCGCAAGAACACCAGUGGCGAAGGCGGCUCACUGGCCCGGUACUGACGCUGAGGUGCGAAGGUCAGGGGAGCAAACGGG
This 253-nucleotide ribosomal RNA is filed under the name uncultured bacterium. Its description in RNAcentral is "partial 16S ribosomal RNA". It matches the Rfam family "Bacterial small subunit ribosomal RNA", at positions 524 to 776 of the family's 1533-position model. The record is from RNAcentral.